Molecule: transfer RNA, 75 nt
Filed under: Trichonephila clavata
Lineage: Eukaryota; Metazoa; Arthropoda; Arachnida; Araneae; Nephilidae
Description: tRNA-Arg
Rfam family: tRNA
About the family: Transfer RNA (tRNA) molecules are approximately 80 nucleotides in length. Their secondary structure includes four short double-helical elements and three loops (D, anti-codon, and T loops).
Source: RNAcentral
GUCUCCUUGUAGCGCAAUGGAUAGCGUGUUGGACUUCUAAUCCAAGGGUGGUGGGUUUGAAUCCCACCUGGAAUG